AGCGCAGGCGGUUCUCUAAGUCUGAUGUGAAAGCCCCCGGCUCAACCGGGGAGGGUCAUUGGAAACUGGAGAACUUGAGUGCAGAAGAGGAGAGUGGAAUUCCACGUGUAGCGGUGAAAUGCGUAGAUAUGUGGAGGAACACCAGUGGCGAAGGCGACUCUCUGGUCUGUAACUGACGCUGAGGCUCGAAAGCGUGGGAGCAAACA
RNAcentral lists this ribosomal RNA (206 nucleotides) under uncultured bacterium. RNAcentral's name for it is "partial 16S ribosomal RNA". It matches the Rfam family "Bacterial small subunit ribosomal RNA", at positions 568 to 774 of the family's 1533-position model. The record is from RNAcentral.